Molecule: non-coding RNA, 106 nt
Organism: Acanthosepion pharaonis
Lineage: Eukaryota; Metazoa; Mollusca; Cephalopoda; Sepiida; Sepiidae
Source: the annotation of a GenBank genome assembly
AUAUCAUUCUGAAACACCGGUUCUCGUCCGAUCACAGAAGUUAAGCAACGUCAAGCCUUGUCAUUACCUAUAUGGGUGAUCACUUGCCAAUAACAGGUGCUGUAAG